Long non-coding RNA from Dromiciops gliroides (monito del monte), 620 nucleotides. RefSeq lists it as uncharacterized. Lineage: Eukaryota; Metazoa; Chordata; Mammalia; Microbiotheria; Microbiotheriidae. The record is from RefSeq and is a predicted model, not a curated record. The transcript has 3 exons.
UUCUGCAAACUGGGGCGGUAGGGAGGGAGCCCUGAACAGAAAUUCCCUGCAGAUGCGUGAAGUCCCUGUCCGCAUUCCUGCGAAGGUAAAGCCAGGCUAGUGGUCGUCAGGAAGCCGGUCUAAGGGCUAGGGAGCCUCUCCUCUGCCAGAUGUGCAUUAAUAAGGCAGCUGCCCUCCAAGCUAAUAAGAUGAGGAACCCACAGAAGUGAAGCUGGAAAGUGGUAGCAAGAAGACCUAAGCUCAAAUCCCAUCUGUGACACUAGCUGUGGGACCCUUGGGCAAGUGACUUCAACUAUGAGCCUCAGUUUCCUCAUUGCCCACAAUCCAAGAACAUUGUGAUCCAGUGGAAAGAACACCACACUUGGAGUCAGGAGACCUGGAUGCUGAUCUUGGCUCUGACGCUUUGCUGCUGUCAAGUCAUUUAACUUCCCUGAGCCUCAAUUUCCUCUUCUGUAAAAAUGCAGUGGAGAAGGCUUCCGAUGAUGCCCACCUCCCAGCGUUGUCAUGAGGAAGGAGUUUUGCAAACAUCAACACUCUGUCGGUGAUUUCUAGUCCCCACUCUGCCACCAACUUGAUCUGUGUGAACUUUGUGAGAAAGGAAAAAAGUCUUGCUAGAACUA